RNAcentral lists this ribosomal RNA (372 nucleotides) under uncultured organism. Its description in RNAcentral is "bacterial SSU rRNA". It matches the Rfam family "Bacterial small subunit ribosomal RNA", at positions 526 to 896 of the family's 1533-position model. The record is from RNAcentral.
CGGGGGGGGCAAGCGUUGUCCGGAAUUACUGGGCGUAAAGGGCGCGUAGGCGGUGCUCUAAGUCGGAUGUGAAAACUCUGGGCUCAACCCAGAGCCUGCAUCCGAAACUGGAGUGCUAGAGUUCUGGAGGGGGUAGCGGAAUUCCUGGUGUAGCGGUGAAAUGCGUAGAUAUCAGGAGGAACACCGGUGGCGAAGGCGGCUACCUGGACAGAAACUGACGCUGAGGCGCGAAAGCUAGGGGAGCAAACAGGAUUAGAUACCCUGGUAGUCCUAGCCCUAAACGAUGGAUACUUGGUGUGACUGGGAUUGAAUCCAGUCGUGCCGAAGCUAACGCAUUAAGUAUCCCGCCUGGGGAGUACGGUCGCAAGGCUG